UAAACUAAUAUAUAUAAUAUUGGUAUACACUUUAAUUAUAAAAGAGGUAUAUAGGAUGUCUCUACUUUACCUUUUGCAUAAUGGGUUAACAAAUAGUAAAUGUAUAAACAUACGCGAAGGGUAGCGAGUUAAUUAAUUAAAUAUUUUAGUAGUACUUCACUAUAUGUUGCAUUAUAUAGCUAUUAUGAUUAAUUAGGAGUGAUAGGCCUAACAAGCUAUCCUAUAUCUUGAUUUUAAGGAAAACUAUUAAGUAGUCAGUCAACCUUGAAGUGGUGAGGUUUCAAGGAAGUACUAACAAAAUUAUGCUAUAUGUAACUUAUUUAACGAUAAUUACUUAAAACAUAUUAAUAUAAAGUAUUAGGGUGUUGUAUAUUGUACUUAAAUAUAUUUCGGGAUGCUUGUUAUAUAAAUACUGUUAACAUUAGUAAUAUUAAAAGAUUGUGGAAGGAACUCGGCAAAACGUUUCUCAACUGUUUAUCAAAAACAUAGCUAAAUGUGAACAUAUUUAGUUACGUCUGCUCAAUGAUUAAUUUAAAUAGCCGCAGUACCUUGACUGUGCUAAGGUAGCAUAAUCAUUUGGCUUAUAAUUGAAGUCUGGCAUGAAGGAAUUUAUGGGUAACAACUGUCUCCUAUAACUGUAAUGAACUUGCUAAAUAAGUGAAAAUACUUAUGUAACCAUAAUAGACGAGAAGACCCUAGAAAUUUUUAACAAUAAGUUCUUUAAAUUUUAGUAUUUUGUUGGGGCGACAGAAUAACAAAUAACUUAUUUUAUGAGUUAGAAUUAUAUUGUAAGGUAAAAUAAAUUACUCUAGGGAUAACAGCAUAAUAUAUUAAAGUUUGUGACCUCGAUGUUGGACUAGGACCCUUAACAACCAGAAGUUUUUAAGUUAAGCUCUGUUCGAGCUGUAUUUCCUACAUGAUCUGAGUUCAGACCGGCGUAAGCCAGGUCAGUUUCUAUCUUUUAAGUUUGAUUUUAUAGUACGAAAGGAACAUAAAUCAUAUAUUGUGUAUAU
This 1013-nucleotide ribosomal RNA is filed under the name Cernuella virgata. Its description in RNAcentral is "16S ribosomal RNA". Lineage: Eukaryota; Metazoa; Mollusca; Gastropoda; Stylommatophora; Geomitridae. The record is from RNAcentral.